AAUAUGUCGCUUUGACGCUUACCGAGUAAUAUAUUCAAUAGCAAAUAAACUAUCAUGGAAUGAUGAACCUAUUGGCACCAUUAAGAUCUCGAUUAUGUACGAUUUUUAGGGCUGAAGCCUUCCCUACAUAAAUAAUCUAAUUUUUGGUUACGGGAGACCCGAGAGACCACUAAGUACUAUUGAAGAGCUUAGCGUACCGGAACGCGGCCGCUACCAAGUAAGUUUAAAGAAGGGAUAGUUGAAAGCUACAAACCCAUCACCGGUUUGUACCAACGUUGCCCAUUGCCUCCCAAUCCCGAGCUGGGGCCUCUUCCUCGGACUCUUUGCCGAUGAUGUAGGUUCCUUCCGUCGUCCGCGCGUUUAAUGGGUUAGGGCUGUGCCCCUCCAUCACUGUUAUUUAUGACUAUGUCCCGAGAAAACCCAGAACAUUAACCUUACUCAUGUUAAAUUUAGGGAAUUGCUCCUUGUUAACCUCCCGUUCAGACCACGGUCGUCGGCGCCAUUAAGGUCGAGGUUAUCGCAUAUAAUUUCAACAACACCAAUUUUUCGAGCAUCAACUUGGAACCCGGACCGACCGGCCAGGCGGAGUGGCGCACAUGACCAGGCCGGCCCGGAAAGGGAGACACCUUGGGGUACGGGAAGUGACCCACACCGCCCCUUUGUCCUGAAAAUGAAACUUUUUUAAUCUCACGAGGUCCGUCCGGAUACGAGCUUAUGUAAUCGUACCUUAUUACUUUAUCCUGCACGCCAAGAUAAAACAACCAAAGAUCCUGGCGGCAUUACUAAUUAUCCCUGUCAGCCCCCGUAGUCAUAAGUUAACAGUCUCCACUUUAAGAACCUAAAUAACUUCUGAUUGAUGACGCUUUCGUAAACGGUUCCUACAAAAGUAAUUAGUCCUUGCUUUCAAUCCCCUAGCUUCUGCUAGUCUAUGGCAGCAUCAGAAUUGGUAUUUGAUACGGCUGAUCCCUAGCCUGCUACAAUAAAAAACUGAGCAAGCCGUGGAAUGCUCUUUAGUUUCACGAACCNGAGGUCCC
RNAcentral lists this ribosomal RNA (1034 nucleotides) under Tolypocladium tropicale. RNAcentral's name for it is "partial 18S ribosomal RNA". Lineage: Eukaryota; Fungi; Ascomycota; Sordariomycetes; Hypocreales; Ophiocordycipitaceae. The record is from RNAcentral.